AUGUCAGAGCUCGAGGCGGAGAUGGCGGAGCUCGGGCUGGAGUACUCACGGGAUGACGGAUUCAAGGGCUGGAGCUCUCACGGACUGGAGGUGCUCAGGCUAAAGGCAGUUGAGGACGCCCUACGGGCGAGCUGGAGGGGAUGGGAAGAGGCCUGGAGUUGCUCAGCAUCGGUCAACCUGCAAGGUGGUUUGCUCGACCACUCACCGUUGGUUCUGUCAAUAUGCAAGGUGAUUUGCUCGAUACCUCGCUGUUGGUUCCGUCAAUCUGCAAGGUUCUUCGUUCGGCUGGAUUGUAGGUUGGCUCCAGUCCUUGAUCAGUUCUUCUGCAAGGAGAGUUUCAGUGCUCAGCAUAUUGCAGUAAUUGCAGCAGCGAGUUCUAUGAAGCACGUCAAUGGAGGGGACAUAGUCAAUGACAAUCGCCUACCAUUUAAUUAG
This 435-nucleotide ribosomal RNA is filed under the name Triticum aestivum (bread wheat). RNAcentral's name for it is "partial small subunit ribosomal RNA". The record is from RNAcentral. Lineage: Eukaryota; Viridiplantae; Streptophyta; Magnoliopsida; Poales; Poaceae.